Long non-coding RNA from Gallus gallus (chicken), 2937 nucleotides. Lineage: Eukaryota; Metazoa; Chordata; Aves; Galliformes; Phasianidae. The record is from Ensembl.
GCUGGGCCAGUACAGGGCUCCUCCCUUGUUCAUCAUGCACCUCGGAGCACGGUGCAAGGCUCCUUCAUGGUAUUUGGGCACCCGGAGGAUCUGCCUGAUUGUGCUUGGCCUCUGUCAAUCUGCUCCAAUUGUUGGUGAAAUCACUCUAGAUGGGAAUGUGGUCCAGUUCUAGGGCUCCAUCACCCACCCCCUCCUCCUCCUCAGCAUUGCCAGCACUACCCAACACCGUCAUUCAAAAAGAGAAAGCUGGAUUGGAAAUUCUCACUUUGAGUUGCAACAAGGUGCUGAAAACCCAUCCAAACUGCACAAAUAUUCCUGAUUCAGUGCAAACAACUCAAAAGCUGCCUCUGCAAUGCCAGAUGUCUGCAGCAAGAGUAGGAGUGGUCUGCAAGAGAGCAGCUUCAGCUGACAGUCCUGUCUCAAAAGUAUGCUACCAGUAUAUUUCAGGAGUCUUUAAUGCAUCUACAAAGCAACUCAAAGAAUCACAUCACCUAUGAAGUGUAUAUGAAAUGUAGUUUUACCUUAAAAGUUCCUUACUAUUUCUCCAAGCCAUUUGGACGUGGGUAAUGCAUUUGCCUUCUGCCAGAAUUUCCAACACUUCUGUAGGAGCCUUGUAUGAAGACUAAAGAGUGAUUUCUCUGGGACAAGUUGGUAACAAUUGGGCCUCCUAUUGGGGCAGCAAGUCCCAUUUCCUGCAUGUUGUCUGUUUAAUGUUUCCCAUUAUGCUUGUGUGUCUUCUUGAGAAGUUUGAGAAGUCUUAACACCUCUUUUGGAAACAAGCAUUUGGAGCUUGGCAAAGAGAAAGCCUCUGGGCUGGAGAAGAGCCUUUGUCCCAGAUAUAAAUAUCCAAGAUAUAAAUAUCUACAGUGGAUUGUCUUCCUCAAGAAAAUUUAGGCAGCCUGUCAAAAGAAUAACUGCACAUGGAUACAGUCAUCAAAGCCUGAACCUCUGCUGCCGCCAGAGCAGUAGCAGCAGCAGCGCUACACCCUACGAUGGAAAAGCAUAGAUAUGACCUGGAUGCUCUAGCUGUGGCAAAACUGGAAAACAAAAGCAGACAUGUCCAGAUCUGCUCAGACUGUGCUCAUAACAGAUAAAUAUCUUAAAGUGGAUGCUGUGCUGAAAAAUCAGUUAGGAAGUAGGCAGAGCUCUGUAUGGGCAUACCCCAGAACUUGAUCUGAUUUCUGAACUCAGCUCUCUAGAGUGCUUCAACUCCUCUGAAUUUGGAAAGGGGAAAGAAGGGAAACAACCACAGGAAAACUUCUUGUAAGAGGAUGGAGGAGCAAGAAAGAGCACAGUAAUGUUCAUAACCAACUUAUACAUGUUCUUUACAGAACAAGCAUUGGUUGAAUUAUAAUGCUAUGUUUUCCUACAUGCUACUCAGACUCCGUGGCUCUGGAGGGUCAUCUUGCUGUCCCCCUGCAAAGGGCUUGGAAGUCCUUAAGUGCAACUUAGUUGGCUGUUAGAGCCAAGCAGGAGAUACUUCAACAUGUUUGCCAAAGCACAGCUUUCCUAAAAGCAUAGCUCUCCUAGUGUUACACUGCAAUAUUAGCCUUGGACCUGAGCCCAAAUCCUGAUGUGGGAUUUAACUCACUAUUCUGGCCCAGAGGCAAACAAGUAAUCCUGGCAAUACACUGUAAAUGGGCUAAACAGACAUAAAUCCUGGAAUUAUUAACAUGCGUGGUAUCCAAAACUAUCCUAAAAAUACAAAGCCAAUACCCCUCUCAUAUUAGCACAAGAAAAUAUUCACGGAAAGCAGCAGCCAGCUCAUGAAAGCUGAUAUUUUAUCCAUAUAUAUAAUGUUUUUAUUAUGCUUCUGCUUUUCAGUUUUGUAAACAGCUGGUAACCAACUGUAAUUCAGAUUUGAACCUGAUAACUUUACUUCUUUUGCUCAUUAGAUAAAAAUAGCAAAAUUGUCAAGUUGUAUUUUCUUAAAUCAAAGAAAAUAUUGAAAAUCACAUAUUUCUCUUCUUAACAUAACCCUCUGGAAAUGCCUUACAUAACCAUGUAAUGAAGAUUACAACUGCAUUGUCAAAAGGAGCCCAGUGCUAAAAUUUGUUACAGAGACAUUAGGGUAAGCGUUCCCAAUUGUGAGCAGGUGGUACAAACAUGAACCCUACUGAGAUAUAAUGAGAUGUGUAUACAUGGGAAGUUUAGGAACCUCCUGUGCAUCUUUUUGAAAAUGACAUAAAACAACUUGCAAUUAAACUCUAUUUGAUGCCAGAUGAGAAACAAAUGUUUUAGGGAAAGUAGUUUUUAAUACAACAAUAAUUCACUUUACAUGUGCAUGCCAGCAGCUUUGCAUGCUACUUCCCAACCAGCAAAAAGCCUUACAAUCAUUCAGCAGGGGCUGAGACCUUACAUUUCACAUAUCUUUACAGGGAUAUUUCCUAUGAAUGGCUUUGUUUGCACAAUGGCAACAAUUCAUUAUGUCGUGUUUGCUUUUUCACUUGUCUAAGACCCCAGCCAAAGGAACACUUUCAGCUCACAUCAAACUUCAAGCACAUCCAUAUUGGUUAUUAGAGUUACAAAAGCAGCUCAGGAAAAGGCUGGAGAUGAGUGUGUUCUGCUGGACUGAAGUCUGAAGGUUCAGGACAUGCCAUGUUCAUAAUGGUUUGGUGAAUAAUGUGAAAUAUGAAGUGUCAUUCGUGGGUCCUAUAGAACUGACUUUCUUCCCUUUCAAAAGAGUAAAUGUUACUAGUAGCAUUUAUGGUGUCCAGAGGGAAAUCUCCAUGUUGCAGAAUGCAUUUCUUUCUGGGAGUGAAAUCUCUGCUUCUGUAGAGGGCACAGCUCCUCUGGCCCAACCUGAAUACGCCCAGUGGGGUGUCAUACUCCUGCCUAGCAGUUCACAUCCCCUAAAUGCUGAGAAGGAGAUGAUACUGUUAUCUUUGUGUUUGUUGGGUGUAUUUUAGUCUCACACAUGUUCUUCCUAUUCUUUCC